Small nucleolar RNA from Sander lucioperca (pikeperch), 122 nucleotides. The record is from Ensembl. Lineage: Eukaryota; Metazoa; Chordata; Actinopteri; Perciformes; Percidae.
CUCCGAUGAUGAUCCAGCCAUGCUAAUACUGAUACACCAGGCAGAUGCAGUGUGUCUGCCUGGGUGUAAGUGAGUGCAACUCACCUUCUCAUGCUGAUUGGUAUCAGUGUGUGCUGAGGAGA